GUCGAACGAGAAAGUGGAGCAAUCCAUGAGUAAAGUGGCGCACGGGUGAGUAACACGUGACUAACCUACCCUCGAGUGGGGAAUAACUUCGGGAAACCGAGGCUAAUACCGCAUAACAUCUACGGAUCAAAUGCGUAAGCAGCUUGAGGAGGGGGUCGCGGCUGAUUAGCUAGUUGGCGGGGUAAUGGCCCACCAAGGCAAUGAUCAGUAGCCGGCCUGAGAGGGCGCACGGCCACACUGGAACUGAAACACGGUCCAGACUCCUACGGGAGGCAGCAGUGGGGAAUUUUGCGCAAUGGGGGAAACCCUGACGCAGCAACGCCGCGUGGAGGAUGAAGCCCCUUGGGGUGUAAACUCCUUUCGAUCGGGACGAUUAUGACGGUACCGGAUGAAGAAGCACCGGCUAACUCUGUGCCAGCAGCCGCGGUAAUACAGAGGGUGCAAGCGUUGUUCGGAAUUAUUGGGCGUAAAGGGUGCGUAGGCGGUGCGGUAAGUCUUCUGUGAAAUCUCCGGGCUCAACCCGGAGCCUGCAGGGGAAACUGCCGUGCUGGAGUAUGGGAGAGGUGAGUGGAAUUCCCGGUGUAGCGGUGAAAUGCGUAAAUAUCGGGAGGAACACCUGUGGCGAAAGCGGCUCACUGGACCAUUACUGA
This 650-nucleotide ribosomal RNA is filed under the name uncultured bacterium. RNAcentral describes it as "bacterial SSU rRNA". It matches the Rfam family "Bacterial small subunit ribosomal RNA", at positions 61 to 743 of the family's 1533-position model. The record is from RNAcentral.